RNAcentral lists this long non-coding RNA (2729 nucleotides) under Canis lupus familiaris (dog). RNAcentral describes it as "lncRNA (ENSCAFG00000057007.1, ENSCAFG00845027093.1)". The record is from RNAcentral. Lineage: Eukaryota; Metazoa; Chordata; Mammalia; Carnivora; Canidae.
CACCUCCUCACCAACCCUUGUUGUUUCUUGUGUUUUUGAUUUUAGCCAUUCUGACAGGUGCGAUGUAAUAUUUCAUUGUGGUUUUGAUUUGGAUUUCCCUGAUUUGUGAUGUUGAGCAUCUUUCGGUGUGUCUGUUGAUCAUCUGUAUGUCUUCUUUGGAGAAAUGUCUGUUCAUGUCUUCUGGCCAUUUUUAAGUUGGAUUUUUUUUGAGUGUUGAGUUGUUUAAGUUCUUUAUGUAUUUUGGAUACUAACCCUUUAUCAAUUAUGUCAUUUACAAGUAUCUUCUCCCAUUCAGUAGGUUGUCUUUUAGUUUUAUUGAUUGUUUCCUACACUGUGCAGAAGCUUUUUAUUUUAAUGUAGUCCCAAUAGUUUAUUUUUGCUUUUGUUUUUCUUGCCCCAAGAGGCAUAUUUAGAAAAAUGUUGCUGUGGCUGACAUCAGAGAAAUUACUGCCUGUGCUCUCUUUUGGGAUUUUUAUGGUUUCAGAUCUCACAUUUAGGUCCUCAAUCCAUUUUGAGUUUAUUUUUGUGUAUGAUGUAGGAAAAUGGUCCGGUUUCAUUCUUUUCCAUGUAGCUAUCCAGUUUUCCCAGCACUAUUUGUUUAAGAGAUUGUUUUUUUUCCUAUUGCAUAUUCUUGCCUCGUUUGUCAAAGAUUAAUUGAUCUUAUAAUUGUGGGUUUAUUUCUGGGUUUCCUAUUCUGUUCCAUUGAUCUAUGUGUUUGUUAUUGUGCCAGUACCAUACUGGUUUGGUUACUACAGCUUUGUAGUAUAUAUUGAAAUCUGGAGUUGUGAUACUUUCAGUUUGUUCUUCUUUCUCAAGAUUGCUUUGGCUAUUUGAGGUCUUUUGUGGUUCCAUACAAAUUGUAGGAUUAUUUGUUAUAGUUCUGUGAAAAAUGAUGUUGGUAUUUUGUUAGGGCUUGCAUUUAAUACGUAGAUUGCUUUGGGUAGUACAGACAUUUUAAUAAUACUAGUUCUUCUAAUCUGUGAGCAUGGAAUAUCUUUCCAUUUAUUUGUGUCAAAAGACUUCUUGAGAAUUUUAGACCAUGAUCUAUUACUGUAAUUUCUCUUUGUCUGUAUAUCUCUACACAUUUUUAAUUUCAUAAUAACAGUUUUAGAAAUAAAAAUGGUUAUUACUAUAUAUAAUUAGAGCAAUGUGGAUAAAUUAUUUUAUGAAAAUAUAAGCUUUAAAACUCCCUGAUAAAAAUGUAAAAGGGGCAAAAGGUCUCUUAGUUUGAGUUCCUCCAGGGUUAGGACCUGGAGGACUGCAGUUUAUUAGGGAGGUGAUCCCAACAAGCAGCAGUGAAAAAUAAGGGAGAAUGAAAUGCCAUUGAAAGUUGGGUCAUGGAAGUUGCAGCUGUGGACAAGGGGACAACUGAGGUUCCAUCAGGACCAUUGGAAAACAUAUAGAAUGCCUCUCAGGAUGAUCCAUCUGUGUUUCAGUUACCUAUUGCUGCAUAACAAACCAUACCCAAACUUAGCGGCAUGAUUUUGUGAGUCAGGAAUUAGAUUAGGGCUCAGCCACAUGGAAUCAGCUGAGUUCACUCACUUGGCUGCUUUCAGCUGGUGUCUCAGAUGCCUGGAAAGUUCAAGGUUCUUCAUUUACAUGUCUGGUGCCUUGGUAUUCCUUCUUGUGGCUUCUCUUUCUUCAAGUGGCUAGUUUGGGCUUCCUCACUGCAUGGUGAUCUCCUGGUAUUUGGUCAAAGUGAGUCACAGGGUCAGCCUAGAUUCAAGGGCAAGGGAAGUAGAUUCUACUUCUGGAAGGGAGAAGCAACAAAGAAUAUGUGGCCUUCUUUGAUCUGUCACAAGCUAAAACACAGGGAUGUGGGAAAUGUCUCCAUUGGUUUCAUCCUCCAUUGGUUGAGAUUCUUUCCAGGGUUUUUAACUUACCUGGUCACUUCUCACACAUGACUGUGUUCACUAAAGAUGGGUCACUAGUGACACAGGGUCAGUGUGAGCUUGCACAGAACUUCCAGCACAGUUCCGGCUGAAUUCAAAAUUUUUAGCAUAGGCUCAUGGGGAGCAGCAUUUAGAAUUAGUCACCCACAUCUUAGCUAACCAAAAGCAUUACUUAAGGACAAUAUGACCAUCGACUUUGGAGGUGUCUAAGCCUGGGGUCAAGUCCCACUACUUGUGAGGUAUGAAUUUCAGUUUCUUCACCUUUAAGGGGAAUAUAAUUGUAUUUUCUUUGUAGGCAGUAGUGAAACCAAUGAUGAGUGUACCAAGGACCCAUGCACUAUGAGGUAUUAUGUACCAGUGUCCACUGUUUAUUACUCAGUCUACUUCAUGCAGAAGCACUGUCACAGGCAGAUGCAGAUUAAAGAUUUUAUAAUGCCUUCAGGGGAAGGAAGGCAAUAAUACUAUGGCAAAUGUAAGUAAUAGUUGUAAGAUGAAAUUUUAGGCUUUUUAAAGUGUAAGGAAAAUAGGUAGUAGUUGAAGAACGAUGAUGUGUAGUUUUUCCUCUACAUUUUAGCUUUUAAGAUUUGUGUACUGCUGUAUUUUAAAUUGUAUCAAAAAGAAUGCAGUUUGGUUCCUGUCAAAUGUCAAAUGCAUAUACCCAUAAGUAAAUGGCAAAAUAAGCCCCCCUUUUUUAUUUUAGUCAAAAUUGGGGCAAAGGAGUUAAUUAAGACUGUCCAUCUGGACCUGGAGGGUAUUAUGCUGAGUGAAAUAAGUCAAUCGGAGAAGGACAAGCAUUAUAUGGUCUCAUUCAUUUGGGGAAUAUAAAAAAUAGUGAAA